GAUGAAGAACGUAGCGAAAUGCGAUAAGUAAUGUGAAUUGCAGAAUUCAGUGAAUCAUCGAAUCUUUGAACGCACAUUGCGCCCGCCAGUAUUCUGGCGGGCAUGCCUGUUCGAGCGUCAUUUCAACCCUCAGGCCCCCAGUGCCUGGUUUUGGGGAUCGGCCCAGCCUUCCUGUAAGGCCGCCGGCCCCGAAAUCUAGUGGCGGUCUCGCUGUAGUCCUCCUCUGCGUAGUAGCACAACCUCGCAGUUGGAACGCGGCGGUGGCCAUGCCGUUAAACACCCCACUUCUGAAAGUUGACCUCGGAUCAGGUAGGAAUACCCGCUGAACUUAAGCAUAUCAAUAAGCGGAGGA
Molecule: unclassified non-coding RNA, 352 nt
Filed under: soil metagenome
Description: partial contains 5.8S ribosomal RNA, internal transcribed spacer 2, and large subunit ribosomal RNA
Rfam family: 5.8S ribosomal RNA (bases 1-120)
Source: RNAcentral